UACGUAGGGGGCAAGCGUUGUCCGGAAUUAUUGGGCGUAAAGCGCGCGCAGGCGGUCCCUUAAGUCUGAUGUGAAAGCCCACGGCUCAACCGUGGAGGGUCAUUGGAAACUGGGAGACUUGAGUACAGAAGAGGAGAGUGGAAUUCCACGUGUAGCGGUGAAAUGCGUAGAUAUGUGGAGUAACACCAGUGGCGAAGGCGACUCUCUGGUCUGUAACUGACGCUGAGGCGCGAAAGCAUGGGUAGCGAACGGG
This 253-nucleotide unclassified non-coding RNA is filed under the name uncultured Caryophanales bacterium. RNAcentral's name for it is "uncultured Bacillales bacterium contains 16S-23S intergenic spacer region". It matches the Rfam family "Bacterial small subunit ribosomal RNA", at positions 524 to 776 of the family's 1533-position model. Lineage: Bacteria; Bacillati; Bacillota; Bacilli; Caryophanales. The record is from RNAcentral.